UUUGACUGUGCUAAGGUAGCAUAAUCAAUAGUUUCUUAAUUAGAAGCUGGAAUGAAUGAUUGGAUGAAAUAAAAACUGUCUUAAUAUUAAUAAUUAAAAUUUUAUUUUUAAGUUAAAAAGCUUAAAUAAUUUUAAAAGACGAGAAGACCCUAUAGAGUUUUAUAUUUUAUAUAUAUUUUAAUUUAUAUUUUAAUAUUUAAUUAUAUUUAAAAUAUUUUAUUGGGGUGAUAGAAAAAUUUAAAAAACUUUUUUUUUAUAAAAACAUAAAUUUAUGAAUAAAUGAUCCAUUAAUAAUGAUUAAAAGAUUAAAUUACCUUAGGGAUAACAGCGUAAUUUUUUUAAAGAGUUCAAAUCGAAAAAAAAGAUUGCGACCUCGAUGUUGGAUUAAAGUUAAGUUUUGGUGUAGAAGCUAAAAUUUUAAGUCUGUUCGACUUUUAAAACUUUACAUGAUCUGAGUUUAAACCGGUGUGAGCCAGGUUGGUUUCUAUCUUUAAAAAAUUAAAAUAUUUUAGUACGAAAGGACCAAGUAUUUAAUAAUAUAUUUAAAAUUUUAUGAAUAAAAUUGUUAUUUUGGCAGAAUAGUGCAAUAGAUUUAGAAUCUUUAUAUGUAAUUUUUACAAAUAAUAUUUGAUAUUUAAAGAUUUACUAAUAAUUAUUAUUUCUAGGUUAAUUUUAGUUA
This is a ribosomal RNA of 679 nucleotides. The stretch from base 321 to 479 matches the Rfam family "Bacterial large subunit ribosomal RNA", at positions 2473 to 2632 of the family's 2925-position model.